AGAAUCAACGCUGGCGGCGUGCCUAACACAUGCAAGUCGAACGCGAAAGUCCCGCAAGGGAUGAGUAGAGUGGCAAACGGGUGAGUAACGCGUGGGUGACCUGCCUUCAAGUGGGGGAUAACGUCCCGAAAGGGACGCUAAUACCGCAUAACAUCCUGCCUUCGAAGAGGCGGUGAUCAAAGCCGGGGAUCGCAAGACCUGGCGCUGGAAGAGGGGCCCGCGUCCGAUUAGCUAGUUGGUGGGGUAAUGGCUCACCAAGGCUUCGAUCGGUAGCCGGCCUGAGAGGGCGGACGGCCACACUGGGACUGAGACACGGCCCAGACUCCUACGGGAGGCAGCAGUGGGGAAUUGUUCGCAAUGGGCGCAAGCCUGACGACGCAACGCCGCGUGGAGGAUGAAGAUUUUCGGAUCGUAAACUCCUUUCGAUCGAGACGAAUGGCCUUUGGGUUAAUAACUCGAAGGAAUGACGGUACCGAGAGAAGAAGCCCCGGCUAACUCCGUGCCAGCAGCCGCGGUAAUACGGGGGGGGCAAGCGUUGUUCGGAGUUACUGGGCGUAAAGGGCUCGUAGGUGGCCAACUAAGUCAGACGUGAAAUCCCUCGGCUUAACCGGGGAACUGCGUCUGAUACUGGAUGGCUUGAGUUUGGGAGAGGGACGCGGAAUUCCAGGUGUAGCGGUGAAAUGCGUAGAUAUCUGGAGGAACACCGGUGGCGAAGGCGGCGUCCUGGACCAAUACUGACACUGAGGAGCGAAAGCCAGGGGAGCAAACGGGAUUAGAUACCCCGGUAGUCCUGGCCCUAAACGAUGAAUGCUUGGUGUGGCGGGUAUCGAUCCCUGCCGUGCCGAAGCUAACGCAUUAAGCAUCCG
This 866-nucleotide ribosomal RNA is filed under the name uncultured bacterium. RNAcentral describes it as "bacterial SSU rRNA". It matches the Rfam family "Bacterial small subunit ribosomal RNA", at positions 26 to 871 of the family's 1533-position model. The record is from RNAcentral.